GACGAACGCUGGCGGCGUGCUUAACACAUGCAAGUCGAACGGAAAGGCCCUGCUUUUGUGGGGUGCUCGAGUGGCGAACGGGUGAGUAACACGUGAGUAACCUGCCCUUGACUUUGGGAUAACUUCAGGAAACUGGGGCUAAUACCGGAUAGGAGCUCCUGCUGCAUGGUGGGGGUUGGAAAGUUUCGGCGGUUGGGGAUGGACUCGCGGCUUAUCAGCUUGUUGGUGGGGUAGUGGCUUACCAAGGCUUUGACGGGUAGCCGGCCUGAGAGGGUGACCGGCCACAUUGGGACUGGGAUACCGCCCAGACUCCUUCGGGAGGCAGCAGUGGGGAAUAUUGCACAAUGGGCGGAAGCCUGAUGCAGCAACGCCGCGUGCGGGAUGACGGCCUUCGGGUUGUAAACCGCUUUCGCCUGUGACGAAGCGUGAGUGACGGUAAUGGGUAAAGAAGCACCGGCUAACUACGUG
RNAcentral lists this ribosomal RNA (468 nucleotides) under uncultured bacterium. RNAcentral's name for it is "partial 16S ribosomal RNA". It matches the Rfam family "Bacterial small subunit ribosomal RNA", at positions 28 to 507 of the family's 1533-position model. The record is from RNAcentral.